Vulpes vulpes (red fox) is the source of this 1554-nucleotide long non-coding RNA. Lineage: Eukaryota; Metazoa; Chordata; Mammalia; Carnivora; Canidae. The record is from Ensembl.
UGAAAUUUUGUUUCUAAUACAAACAUCAACUUUUCACCCAGCAGUAAAGUUCUUUCUUUCACUUUCUUGCUAACUGGUUUCUGAUUAUAAAAACAAUGCAAGCUUCUAAUAGGAAAUUUGAAAAAUACAGCCAAGUAUGAAGAGAAAAAAAACACCUGUAUCCUAACUUGACCAGCAAUAAUUGCUUUGGAUAUUCUGGUUUACUUCCUUCAGUGUUCUUUAUUUUUCAAUGCACAUAGGUGUAAACACACACAUUUUGCAUACCUCCGAUCAUGCUUACCUAUAAAGUUUGUAUCCUACCUUUUAUUCUCACUGUUAGACAAAAAAAAAAAAAAUGUCCUACUAUAAUUAUUAUUUGAAAACAUCAGCAAGCCUAAGUCUUCAUACUUAUAAUGUGCUUAUUUCUCCCAUUCAUCUAAGCCCCAAUCUUCUGUGAGAGACCUACUUCUCAUUCACUCUAAACUUGACCUUGAGAUCACACUGAAGAAAAAGAAAAAAGGAGAAAAAAGUACUGAUAAUAAAAUCUCUUCAAUGAACUGAGGAAUAGGACACUCUGCAAACCCUGCCUUCCUCUCUGAAGAGAAUGCAAUCGAAGUCAAGAGAAGUGAAGAUGGUGUCGGAUUCUCUCUUCAGACCUUCAGGUAGGUCUUUAAGAUGUCAUACUACAUCUAGGCUCCUGGCUAUUGACCCUCAUCCCGAAAGCAAGAAAGGCUUUUUUCUUUUUUCUUUUCUUUCUUUCUCUUUCUUUCUUUCUUUCUUUUUUUCUUUGUUUGUACUUAUUUGUUUAUAUUUUGGGAAAUUUCAUAAAAUGUACAAGUCUAGGAGAAAGUCAAUGCAAAUGAAGAUGGUAAAAAAAAAAAAACAAUGCAAGAGAGAGUGGUUGUUUAAACAAGGUCAAAAAAAAAAAAAUGGCAGUUAUGGGAUCCUAGUCACAGGAAGUAGGCCAGCCUUGAAGAGGAGGAGGGAUACAUUUUCCUUUGAAACAGGAAAAAUCAGAAGAUGUUUAAAACUGCAAAUACAGUUUAGAUGAUGCACAAAAGCACAAAGAUAGCUUAAAAGGAAGCGGUUGAGAAAUUUCAUAAUAUAUAUGUAUAAUUUCUUUAAUUAAGAGAUGAUCAAUUAUGUCUUCUCACAAUUAAACCAUCAGGGAUGAGAAUAUAAACCUGGCAAAGCAAAAUCGAUUUGCAAGGUCAAGUGAGAUAAAUAUGCAAGAGAGUCAACUUGGAUGAGUAAGGGAUUAUUCAAGAACUAUGAAACACAAUUACAUUCAGAGAAAACCAGUAAUAGUGAGACCAACCAAUACGGUCAUAUGAUUCUCUCCAUAUUCAUUUUCCAGUAUGGAAACAGGAACAAAAUUGAGAUUGAAAACAAAGGGUUCUCUCCAUUAACGCUUGUAAAACAUUUUAAAUUAUCAUAGGAAAGAAAGUAAUGUCUUUAACUGAGUAUUUCACAUUUUGGAAAAGCACAGAAUGGACUGUUUGCUGGGCAGGAUUCUUUUAUUCAUUGUUUAAUUCAUCGUCUUUAAAAAAAAGAAUAAAACAACAUUUUCUUGCA